AGCAGUCGCCGCGGGAAUACAGAGGGUGCGAGCGUUAAUCGGAUUUACUGGGCGUAAAGCGUGCGUAAGCGGCUUCUUAAGUCGGAUGUGAAAUCCCUGAGCUUAACUUAGGAAUUGCAUUCGAUACUGGGAAGCUAGAGUAUGGGAGAGGAUGGUAGAAUUCCAGGUGUAGCGGUGAAAUGCGUAGAGAUCUGGAGGAAUACCGAUGGCGAAGGCAGCCAUCUGGCCUAAUACUGACGCUGAGGUACGAAAGCAUGGGGAGCAAACAGGAUUAGAUACCCGAGUAGUCCCUGUCUCUUAUAC
This 303-nucleotide ribosomal RNA is filed under the name uncultured bacterium. Its description in RNAcentral is "partial 16S ribosomal RNA". It matches the Rfam family "Bacterial small subunit ribosomal RNA", at positions 507 to 807 of the family's 1533-position model. The record is from RNAcentral.